GACGAACGCUGGCGGCGUGCCUAAUACAUGCAAGUCGAGCGGAAUGAUGAAGAAGCUUGCUUCUUCUGAUUUUAGCGGCGGACGGGUGAGUAACACGUGGGCAACCUACCUUGUAGAUUGGGAUAACUCCGGGAAACCGGGGCUAAUACCGAAUAAUCCAUUUCGCUUCAUGGCGAGAUGUUGAAAGACGGUUUCGGCUGUCACUACAAGAUGGGCCCGCGGCGCAUUAGCUAGUUGGUAAGGUAAUGGCUUACCAAGGCGACGAUGCGUAGCCGACCUGAGAGGGUGAUCGGCCACACUGGGACUGAGACACGGCCCAGACUCCUACGGGAGGCAGCAGUAGGGAAUCUUCCACAAUGGACGAAAGUCUGAUGGAGCAACGCCGCGUGAGUGAAGAAGGUUUUCGGAUCGUAAAACUCUGUUGUAAGGGAAGAACACGUACGAGAGUAACUGCUCGUACCUUGACGGUACCUUAUUAGAAAGCCACGGCUAACUACGUG
This 500-nucleotide ribosomal RNA is filed under the name uncultured bacterium. RNAcentral describes it as "bacterial SSU rRNA". It matches the Rfam family "Bacterial small subunit ribosomal RNA", at positions 28 to 507 of the family's 1533-position model. The record is from RNAcentral.